This 599-nucleotide long non-coding RNA is filed under the name Salmo salar (Atlantic salmon). Its description in RNAcentral is "lncRNA (ENSSSAG00000101592.1, ENSSSAG00000109213.1)". Lineage: Eukaryota; Metazoa; Chordata; Actinopteri; Salmoniformes; Salmonidae. The record is from RNAcentral.
GUGGUGUGUAAUAGUGGUAUAUAGAUGGUGGUGUGUAAUAGUGGUAUAUAGAUGGUGGUGUGUAAUAGUGGUAUAUAGAUGGUGGUGUGUAAUAGUGGUAUAUAGAUGGUGGUGUGUAAUAGUGGUAUAUAGAUGGUGUGUAAUAGUGGUAUAUAGGUGGUGGUGGUGUGUAAUAGUGGUAUAUAGAUGGUGGUGUGUAAUAGUGGUAUAUAGAGGGUGGUGUGUAAUAGUGGUAUAUAGAUGGUGGUGUGUAAUAGUGGUAUAUAGAUGGUGGUGUGUAAUAGUGGUAUAUAGAUGAUGGUGGUGUGUAAUAGUGGUAUAUAGAGGGUGGUGGUGUGUAAUAGUGGUAUAUAGAUGGUGGUGGUGUGUAAUAGUGGUAUAUAGAUGGUGGUGUGUAAUAGUGGUAUAUAGAUGGUGGUGUGUAAUAGUGGUAUAUAGAUGGUGGUGUGUAAUAGUGGUAUAUAGAGUUGUGGUGGUGUGUAAUAGUGGUAUAUAGAUGGUGGUGUGUAAUAGUGGUAUAUAGAUGGUGGUGUGUAAUAGUGGUAUAUAGAUGGUGGUGUGUAAUAGUGGUAUAUAGGUUAUGGUGGUGUGUAAUAGUG